This is a non-coding RNA of Benincasa hispida (wax gourd), 792 nucleotides long. The record is from RefSeq and is a predicted model, not a curated record. NCBI's taxonomy places the organism in Eukaryota, Viridiplantae, Streptophyta, Magnoliopsida, Cucurbitales, Cucurbitaceae.
CGUGAAAAAAAAAAAAGAAAAUAAAUCGAUAUUCCCCUUCAACUUUUGUUUUUAGCCACUCGUCAGGGUCAAGCUGACACUUGAACCUCACGCCACCGAUUCAGGCUCACAAUCCUCAACCGCUCUUGCUUGUGAGCCACCAACGUCGUCCGAGUGUGUGCUGCCAUUCGUUGACAUCUGCUAUACUGCCGCUUGAGUUCCGGCGUCCUCGUCUCAGCCAUGUUGUUUGCUUUCGUUGUCACCGCUAACUUUCACACCCAGAUUCUGACGCCACUGUUCAUGUUGCUCUGCUAGACGCAUUCAGUCAUCACUCUCUUCUCCCAACUGGCUGGAUUCUGUUAGCUACUCACUAUCGAACGUCUACAACCUCAGUUCGUCAUUUAGCAACUAUUCCCUCGCUUGUAAGUUUGGUUUUGGAUAAGAUUUUGGUGGGUUUCAUGAAUUUUCUUGAAUGGAUCCUGAAUGGCCAUUGAGUUUGGGUUCAUUUAAUAGAUGCCCGUUAUGUUUGGAAGGUUCGAAGAGAGUUGUGAAGGCGAAAACGUAUUGUCAGGCAUUACUAAAGAUUGAUUUUGGAGAUUUUGGUAAGUGUUUGUGAAUUUUUCUGAAAAAGAUUGUGGAUUCCCAUUAAACUUGGAUUAAACUCAUGUUACCAUGUUUUCUUGGGCUUAAAUUGAAGGUUCGGAGGAAUUUUUUAAUCGAACGCAAGCUGUCCAAUAAAUUUUAAAGUCGAUUUUGAGGCAAUUUUAUAUUGAGGAUGAAUUUGGGUAAAGUGUUAUGGUUCUUUGGAGUAAA